Molecule: unclassified non-coding RNA, 401 nt
Filed under: soil metagenome
Description: partial contains 5.8S ribosomal RNA, internal transcribed spacer 2, and large subunit ribosomal RNA
Rfam family: 5.8S ribosomal RNA (bases 1-121)
Source: RNAcentral
GAUGAAGAACGCAGCGAAAUGCGAUAAGUAAUGUGAAUUGCAGAAUUCAGUGAAUCAUCGAAUCUUUGAACGCACCUUGCGCCCUUUGGCCAUUCCGAAGGGCAUGCCUGUUUGAGUAUCAUGAACACCUCAACUCUCAUGGCUCGCCAUGAUGAGCUUGGAUUUGGGGGUCUUGCUGGCCUGUGGUCGGCUCCUCUCAAAUGGAUCAGCUUGCCAGUGUUUGGUGGCAUCACAGGUGUGAUAACUAUCUGCGCUUGUGGUUUUCCAUCAGAUAACCUUCAGUGAUGGAGGUUCGCUGGAGCUCAUAAACGUCUCCCCUAAGCGGGGACAGCCCUUUGAAUGUUUGAUCUCAAAUCAGGUAGGACUACCCGCUGAACUUAGGCAUAUCAAUAAGCGGAGGA